ACGCGCAACAAAGGGGAGAGCGCGGCGCGAACCACCGGGGGCUCCAUGGGGGAACCCGGCCCCGGGCGGGACCACCCUUCGGGCCACAGGGGACACCCCGGAGCGGCGGGGGCCGCGGACAAAGGCGUCUGCAUGAUACAUGCUCUGCAAACUCUAGUUUCACUCUUGCAGCCCAGACUGGUGUGCAAUGUUGUGUUCUCGGCUCACUGCAACCUCCACCUCCUGGGUUCAAGCGAUUCUCCUGCCUUAGCCUUCCAAGUACCUGGGAUUACCUGCCACCGUGCUCAGCUAAUAUUUUGUAUUUUUAGUUGAGAUGGGGUUUCACCAUGUUGGCCAGGCUGGUCUCAAAACUCCUGACCUCAGGUGAUCCACCCGCCUUGACCUCCCAAAGUGCUGGGAUUACAGGCUUGAGCCACCACGCCCAGGCCCUCUCAUAUUUCUAGAGAAGCUGGAUGCUACAUUGCAACUAACUGCAAGGUGCCCUGUGAAGAGGCCUGUAAUGGCGAGAAAGCGAGGGAAACCUCCAGCCAACAACAAGGAACUGAGGCUCUUGGCCCCAUCACCUGUGAGGAACUGAAUACUGCCAACAGGCAUGUGAGUGGACUGGAAGUGGGCCCUCCUCACAGAGCCUUCUGAUGACUGCACAGGCCCAGCCAACAGCUCGACUGCAACCCUGAGAGCCCAGGAGCCAGCAGCUCAGCCAAGCCUGGAUUCCUGAUCCCCAGCAACUGUUCAUAACGGAAAACAGCUGUUCAUAAGCGUGGGUACUCCCAAACAUGGAUAUUCAGGACAACUACUGGAGAUAGUUGUAGAAUCUCACCAUCUUCACACAGACUUGUAUUUAGGAACCAGCGCCGUAUUGCACCGUAGUUCAAUUACUAUUUAUGGUCUGUAUUCACACAAGAAACAUUUACCAACAAAGGCAAACUGGACAGUGUCUCUUCCUUCUCAUGAGACUGGAUUCCGAGGGCCUUUGGGGGAAUUUGGUCUUCCACCCCAGGACGUAGGUGAAUAUAGUCCGGGCCACGUCUUUCAUUUCUGAAAGCCAACUGUGGAGCAGGAAAGAGUAAACGUUUUUUUUCCUUGCUGGUGGAUUCCCCGUUUUUGCCAGGACCAAAAAUAUACCAUCUUACAUUCAAGUAGCUGUUUGUGGACAUCCUUGCGGAGAAAUAUUCAGUGUUCAGAACGGUCAUAACCUUGACCAGAAGUCUUGGACUAACCGUCUCAGGGGAACCCACUGUGGCUUUUGCUUGAUUUAAAAUGAACCAAGCUGAUUAACUUGUACAGUUCCGAUUUCUUCCACAACCAAGUCACAGAGCUUCUGUGAAAUCUCUCAGGUUAAGUCAUCAUCAACUCACUCGUGACUAAGGCCCAGGAGCGGAAGUGUCGAGAGCAUCACGGUGUGUUCUGUUCAGCUGCUCAGAACAAGUCAACUCCUGAUGAUGGAUGCAACGACCCGACUUCCGUGUCCUUGCCAAAUGCUGUCACCUUGGAUCAAGGUGUCCUGUCAAGUCCCCCUGUCAUGACAGCUGUCUGUAGUUGUGCUUCAGAACUCUGGCCAGUCUAUGUGAAACUUUUCUUUUCUCUCAAUAUACAAAAAAAAAAAAUGAGUCCUUUCCCAGUGUUGGGCCCGCCUUGGCACCAUGCCACAGACUUCUUCGGUCACAUCAAGUUUCUUAACACCACAAAUAAAUAAAGCUAACUGGGUGGUAAUAGUUUAUGAGCAGCGAAAGAAAAGGCCACAAUCAAUUUGACUCUUUCAAGCAACUGGACUUGUAAAUCCCCCGAGUUAUCUCCAACUCACUGUGCAACCCAAAUGCCCGUUAGACUUAAAUAAUGGUCUCAACAGUCAUGUGUUUCUGUAAAGGACACGUCACUCUGCUCCUUUAUCAACUCGCCAUCUGCUGUAGCUCUGAAUGCCCAGGUCAUUCUUCUCACGUGAUUCCGGAACAGCGUACCACUGCCGCACCACUUGUUAAUUCGCUUUUCAAGACAAACCCUACUGACAUUUGAGUCCCUUUUUCAGUUCGCUGAGGAUGGCGUCUCGAGUCUGCUCUGUGUACUGGUCGUAGCUCUUGCUAUGCUUUGAUUCGUAGUGGCGUUUCAGGUUGUAUUCUUUCAACACAGACACGUUUUGUUUGCAUAUUAAACACAUAGGCAUGCUCUUCACUUCCACAAA
Molecule: long non-coding RNA, 2179 nt
Organism: Rhinopithecus roxellana (golden snub-nosed monkey)
Lineage: Eukaryota; Metazoa; Chordata; Mammalia; Primates; Cercopithecidae
Exons: 4
Source: RefSeq, a predicted model, not a curated record